UACUAUAAAUAGUUAAUUGAGAGAUAAGAAAUAGUUUAACAUAUUGAUGUUUAGGUGUGUAUAUAUAAGAUACUUUUUUCCUUUUCGAAAUGGGUCGGUUGGUGCGUAUAAAAGUUAUGCGUACGCGUAGAAGAGAAUAUUAUGGUGGGUAUUAUUUGUGGUCUCUUGUUUAUAAUUUCAUCAGAUUAUUCGGUAUACCUUUCUCCACCAUAUUUAAUUUACAGUUUAUUUGAAAAAAAAAUUGGUUUCUGAAUCUUGCUUUAGUUAUUACUAGAGUAUAAGUUUAUAGACUUCUAUCAGUUACGUACAGCUAAACUGCUAAACAGUAAACUCUAUUAUUGGAUUCGUUUGGGUUUGGCGCGUUUUGGUUCUACCAGAAAUAUUGGUUUCAGUAAUAUAUGAUAAAUACAAUAAUUUGGGAUUUGAAGAAAUAUAAUAAUUUGAUGUUUGAUAUUUAUAGUGAGCUUGUUUCAUGAAAUUUUAACGUAUAAACGGGCCACUCGUUUCGGUUUUGAAAUAUCUCUGCUCUUUCUAUAUAACAUGCAUGUGAUCUCGUGAAAAAAACCUAUGGGCAAUUCUAUUAUUAUUGUUUAAUUUUUAAUGACUAAAAUGUUGGGUCCGAAAAUUUGUAUAUCUUUCUAGAUUAAGAUUUAAACUAUGUUUUCUAAAAAAAAGAGAUUUAAACUAUGUUAAAUUAACUUUUAUAGAAAAAACAGAUUUUUCCCCAACGAAAACUGAAUUUCCGAUCCUUCAACCCUUACUAAAUCUAAAAAAUUUAAUAUCUUCGAUGAUAGGCAAUUCUAUUAAAUAACUUAUUAAACAUGUAUGUUUUAAAUCAAAAUUGUGUUUGGUAUGUUAUAGCAAACAAAUUGAAAGAUUAACACAAUCAUUUUAAAAGGGUUUUGGUUUUGGAUAGGUGAUGUCAAGUGUCAGAUUUUAACGUUUUCUUUUGUGUUGAUGAGUUGAUCACCCUUCUCCGAAAUAGAUAAAAUUAUUUGAGAAAAUUAAGAAAAAAGGAAGAAAAUAAAAUUUGAGGACAUGGUGAAAUUGUGAGUAAUUCGUGACGAAAAGGGACUUCAGAAGAGUUGAUGUGGCUGAGACAAGAAGGAUGAGGAGAUGUUGACGUGAGAGGUCCUUUUGAGAAUACUUCAUUUCACAGCUUGCACUCUUCUUCUGUGUUAUUGAGUCUUAUGACCCACUCUUCUUCUCCAUAAUUCAUUUUGUUUUAAAUCGGUUUCUGGAUCAAUCUUUACGAUUUGUUUUAACACUAGUAUUUGUAUUUUUAUGGUCCACUCUUCGCUGUUCUUCUGGUAUUAUUGAUAUAGUUUGUAUAAAAGUUAUUCGUAUACACUGUUUUAGUUUUUUGACGUUUUAUGUUUGGAUAUUGGAUAUGCUUUAUUGGCGAACCAAAAUAAACACGUUUCUGCUGCAAGAAACUCAAAAGAUAAAGUAAAGCCAUUAAUUAGGCAACUAAUUUUAUCAAGAAACGGUGUGUUUAACCUGACGAUGCCUUCAAGCAGUCGAUGGUAGGAGGACGGACACUGGAAAGGAAGAGAAAGUGAGAUGUCACGGAUUGUCUGUCUUCUGUGUUUGGCCUUUUCACCAACCUUAUCGACUCGACCACCAUCCCGCACGCACACUACAGAAAGUCUAUAGUAUACCAUAAUCUUUUAAUUUAAUAUUAAUAAUUGAGGAAACAUAGAUUUCUAUGCAUGGGAAUGUCACUUCAACUAUCAUGUCGUCUGACACAUAAUAUCACACGUUCGGUAGUCGUCAUUUCACUAAACUCUAUGUUAAGUCAAAUCAAAACUUGCACCCAACUUAGAGUACUGUCCUAACUCGUAACUAUUAGACGUUUUUUGGUUUUAUCGAUAAUAAUAUAAGAGACGAUGAAAUGUGAACGUAGUUUCCUAAAUUGUAGAUCUUGAUCGCCAUUAACUUAGAGCUAGGUUAAAGCCUGCUAUCGAAAAAUUUGCUAUGCUUUACGGAGUGUUUUCAAGAUAUCUUCCUCGUGAAUUACGACACUUUUUAUUCUAAACAAAGGAAAAAAACGCAAUUAAGAGAAAAAGUGAUCAGGAGUAGUGAGUUCUUUAGCCAGCUGUGAAGUGUUGUUGUUCACUUAACAGCUGUUGUGUAGCUAAUCGCCAACCUGGUUAUCUCUUUUACUUUCUUUUGUUCCCAUCCCAAUCUAUUUAUAAUAGAUUCUAUGGACCUAUAUGUGGUUUGUGUUUAUAUUUUCAAUUGGCUUUCUUUUCUUUAAAAAGAAGUUGAGGAGAUAUGAAGCUAAAAAUCAGUUUUAACCUCGUCCUUGUAUUUGUCAUUAUUCUCAAUUUGUGUGAAUAGUAAUACUUAAACAUAUACAUGUAAAUUGAUAGGUAAUUGAUAUUUCGGUUAUAUGCAGAACCGAAUAGAUAUUGAUCAAACAUGUGUUUGGAGCCGCAAAUAUGUAAAAGUUCCCAAUUUUCUAAUGAUACUAAUUCAGUUAAGAGGACGUAGUAUAUGUAAAAGUUUAUAAAUAUUUUCAUAGUUUGUUAAUUACUGGGUCAGAAAUGAAUUGUAUGCUUUGAAACCCUAAACAUUCAGGGCCGAUUCUAUUUAUAUGAGGUCAAAUGUUACAUUUGUUUAUAAGAGCACCUCGACUUCAAAAUAUUACUUUACAUAGAAUACAUGUUCACUCCACAAAUAAUAUAUUGCGAAAAGAAUCUCCCACUUUCGGAUAAAAUCUUAAAUAUGUACCUGAGUUAUCCGAACAUAUUCGGUAUAAUACAUCAAGGAAUUGGUGGAAUAUUAGGUGAUAUGAUUACAGAGUUUCCAGCUGUAGCCGCCGCCAAAAGAGUCGAAAUCGAAUUAAAAAUAAGUUUGGAUUAGCUCAAACUUGAGCAUAAAAAGUUAAAAACAAGUGAAACAAACAAACAAUAGCUGCAUGCAUCAAUCAUCAUCACUCUUUAAAGUUAGAUAGUAACUAAUUCGUACAACAUAAAUAAUACUAAUAAGUCUUGAUUAUCUAUUUACGGUCAUUUGCACUAACAGAUGCAUAUCCAAAUAACCAGUUCGUAUUUACUUAACUCUAGAUUUAGUUUGUUUAAUAAGUUGUUCAAAUAAAACCUAAAUGAUGGUAUGAUAGUAUUGAAUAACGAAUGCAAUGAUCAUUUUUAAGCAUUUGAAAAUACGUUUUAUCUCAAAUAUAUUACCAUCUAAUUUUUCAUAUAGUAGUAAAAUAUUAAAAGCUGAGAGGCUAAUAUAAAAACAAAAAUUGUUCAAAAUCCUUAACCUUUUUCUUUACUAAGCAAAAAAACAUAAAAACAACCAAGGAUGGCCUGCAAAAACGUAGAGGCAAACACUCCAAUACCAUAAUAAAAAGCUUGAUGCCAAACUGUAUCUUCUUUCUCUCUUCUCUUCAACACAAU
Brassica rapa (field mustard) is the source of this 3407-nucleotide long non-coding RNA. RefSeq lists it as uncharacterized. NCBI's taxonomy places the organism in Eukaryota, Viridiplantae, Streptophyta, Magnoliopsida, Brassicales, Brassicaceae. The record is from RefSeq and is a predicted model, not a curated record.